UUUAUUCUGCUUUAAAUUAUCCUUCAUAGUAUGAGAAAGGCAAUUAAUACCAUGCCAAAGUUACCAUUUGACAUAUUCACUAAUUGUCUAUGAUAAAAAGAAAAUGUUCCAAAUAUCAUAAAGGCAUAAAAUAGAACUAUAAUAAGAGAGAGCAAUACCCACGCACUAUUUUACUUUUUGGUGUCUCAGGGGCAUGUGAACACAAUUCAGCAUUCCACAUGUUGCCCCUGCCUCCCAAACUGCUUUAGUAACUAAUUGAAGUUGACAAAUUUAAAAGCAUCGAAGUCUAUGAGUUUACAUUAAAAGCUUUCUGUGUUGAAACAAUAAGACAAUUAGAGGAAAAGAAUUGAUAAAUAAGUGCAAAUAAGAAAUUAUGGCAUAUGACACUUUUCAUCCUUUUGUCAUUUUAGGCGCAUAGAUGUUAACAGGCCAAUAAUAUGACCAAGAAAGUAUGUAACCUCAUACUUUAUUUGGACGGAGGGAUAAGGAGUGAUAGGAAAGGAAAAUGUUAAAGGGAUAAGAAUUGUUCCUUGUUUGAGAGUUUAAUGAGGUUGGAAAAGAAGGAUAAGAAGGGAUUAGUUAUCCUUUCAAACUCCACUUUGUUUUCCCAUCAAAAUUGAGG
RNAcentral lists this unclassified non-coding RNA (622 nucleotides) under Hevea brasiliensis (rubber tree). Lineage: Eukaryota; Viridiplantae; Streptophyta; Magnoliopsida; Malpighiales; Euphorbiaceae. The record is from RNAcentral.